This 491-nucleotide ribosomal RNA is filed under the name uncultured bacterium. RNAcentral's name for it is "partial 16S ribosomal RNA". It matches the Rfam family "Bacterial small subunit ribosomal RNA", at positions 28 to 507 of the family's 1533-position model. The record is from RNAcentral.
GACGAACGCUGGCGGCGUGCUUAACACAUGAAAGUGGAGCGACGAACCAGGGCUUGCCCUGGGGCAGAGCCGCGAACGGGUGAGUAACACGUGGGUAACGUGCCCCGAUGACUGGGACAACCCGGGGAAACCCGGGCUAAUACCGGAUGUGACCCCUCACCUCCGUGGGGUGUGUAAGAAAGCUUCGGCCUCCGCAUCGGUAUCGGCCCGCGGCCCCUUAACUUGUUCGUGAGGUAACGGCAAAACAUGGCCGCGAUUGCUAACUGCUCUGUGCGGACGCCCCGCCACUCUCGGACUGAGACACGCUCCACACUCCUACGGGAGGCCGCAGCGGUGAAUCGUGCGCAACGCGCGAAAGCGUGACGCAGCAACGCCGCGUGGUGGAAGACGGCCUUCGGGUUGUAAACCCCUUUCAGUUGGGACGAAUGUCGGGCGGUUAACAGCCGUCCCGGCUGACGUUACCCACACAAGAAGCCCCGGCUAACUACGUG